Long non-coding RNA from Rhododendron vialii, 1168 nucleotides. RefSeq lists it as uncharacterized. The record is from RefSeq and is a predicted model, not a curated record. The transcript is spliced from 3 exons. NCBI's taxonomy places the organism in Eukaryota, Viridiplantae, Streptophyta, Magnoliopsida, Ericales, Ericaceae.
GACAUUUCUUUCUUAGUUUGACGAUCUUUACACUCCAUGAACAAUUUCCAUUGAGUGGUUUCCCCCCUAACGUGGGGCCUGCAUCAUAAGUGUGAGUCCAGUUCACCCAUUUGGAAACCAAAGAUUUUACUGUGGCAUCAAAGGUGCUGACUGUCACAAGUAGCAACAAACAGGCUUAAUAAUGCUAGCUAUAUUGAUUCUGUCACGUUUGGUCAUGUUGACUCGUCAUGGUUGGCUACAGUGACAUUAGUCAUGUUUUCCUUUAGUUUGUUUCAAUCAUUUCUAAAGUCUGAAGUUACCCAGUUAAAUUUUUUAUUCAUCACCGCUGUGUCCAGCAACCUCCAUCAUAGUCCUCGGUGCUGACGCUGCAAAAAUUCCUAAUGAAUUUACAACUGUUCUUUUUGCUUUUAAUUUUGAUGAACUAUGGUAUUUCCAUGUCAUUCUAUGCUGUACUGUUAUGCACGCUACUCUGUAUUACUGAGAUGGAAAGGGAAGGAUCAGGUAGAGCAGUUAGUUUGUAGCUUUAGGAAUUUAAGUCUGCACAAUUAUAUUGCUCAGUGAGUUUGAAGCAUUCGACCUUAAAGUCUGCACAAUUAUAUUGCUUUUAGAGGAAAUCUGGUUUCAUUUGUAUCUCCUUAAUUCAGGCUAGAGUAUUAUGCAGUAUCUAUGGAGUAUAGACACCUUGCCAGAGGUCAGCUACCAGUGUCGGAAGCUUCUCACGCGCCAGCACUCCCCAGACACUCUCCGGACAACUAUUCCACGUUCAAAGUGGCAGGGGGAGGUUAAAUGGAAGGGGGAGGUCAAGUGGAAGGGGAAUGUCAAGUGGCAUAGGACGGUCAAGUGGAAGAGAAAGGACAAAUGGAAGGGGAUUUCAAAUGGAAGGGGAGUGUCAAGUGGCAUAGGCUUGAUUUAUGUUGCAUUCCACUGAUCUUUGUUGUUCUGGUUUGAAAUUCCCCUAUGGGCAAUGCUGUCGGACGACUUGUUGUGGAAUGUUCAACAUAUUGAUCUGAUAUUCAAAUGACUGCUUCUACUUUUUUGGUUAUAGUUGUACGACAUCCUACUGCUUCGAUUAUGUAUAUGCGACCAUUGUUACUGACCAUCUCAUCCACGUAUCUCAGUUUUAUUCGGGGGGAAGCAAGUACAAAAAUGAAGGGUGAAUGGCGGUGUA